AACUAAGCAUAUCAAUAAGCGGAGGAAAAGAAACUAACAAGGAUUCCCCUAGUAGCGCGCGAGCGAAGCGGGAAGAGCUCAAAUUUAUAAUCUGGCACCUUCGGUGUCCGAGUUGUAAUCUCUAGAAGUGUUUUCCGCGUUGGACCGCACACAAGUCUGUUGGAAUACAGCGGCAUAGUGGUGAAACCCCCGUAUAUGGUGCGGACGCCCAGCGCUUUGUGAUACACUUUCAAUGAGUCGAGUUGUUUGGGAAUGCAGCUCAAAUUGGGUGGUAAAUUCCAUCUAAAGCUAAAUAUUGGCGAGAGACCGAUAGCGAACAAGUACCGUGAGGGAAAGAUGAAAAGCACUUUGGAAAGAGAGUUAACAGUACGUGAAAUUGUUGGAAGGGAAACGCUUGAAGUCAGACUUGCUUGCCGGAGCUUGCUUCGGUUUGCAGGCCAGCAUCAGUUUUCCGGGGUGGAUAAUGACGGUUUGAAGGUAGCAGUCUCGGCUGUGUUAUAGCUUUCCGUUGGAUACGCCCUGGGGGACUGAGGAACGCAGCGUGCUUUUUGCGAAAGACUCGUCUUUUUCACGCUUAGGAUGCUGGUGGAAUGGCUUUAAACGACCCGUCUUGAAACACGGACCAAGGAGUCUAACAUGCUCGCGAGUAUUUGGGUGUCAAACCCGGAUGCGCAAUGAAAGUGAAUGUAGGUGGGAACCGCAAGGUGCACCAUCGACCGAUCUGGAUUUUUUAAGAUGGAUUUGAGUAAGAGCGCGUAUGUUGGGACCCGAAAGAUGGUGAACUAUGCCUGAAUAGGGCGAAGCCAGAGGAAACUCUGGUGGAGGCUCGUAGCGGUUCUGACGUGCAAAUCGAUCGUCAAAUUUGGGUAUAGGGGCGAAAGACUAAUCGAACCAUCUAGUAGCUGGUUCCUGCCGAAGUUUCCCUCA
Molecule: ribosomal RNA, 927 nt
Filed under: Rhodotorula diobovata
Lineage: Eukaryota; Fungi; Basidiomycota; Microbotryomycetes; Sporidiobolales; Sporidiobolaceae
Description: LSU rRNA
Rfam family: Eukaryotic large subunit ribosomal RNA
Source: RNAcentral